AUUGAACGCUGGCGGCAGGCCUAACACAUGCAAGUCGAGCGGAUGAAGGGAGCUUGCUCCUGGAUUCAGCGGCGGACGGGUGAGUAAUGCCUAGGAAUCUGCCUGGUAGUGGGGGAUAACGUCCGGAAACGGGCGCUAAUACCGCAUACGUCCUGAGGGAGAAAGUGGGGGAUCUUCGGACCUCACGCUAUCAGAUGAGCCUAGGUCGGAUUAGCUAGUUGGUGGGGUAAAGGCCUACCAAGGCGACGAUCCGUAACUGGUCUGAGAGGAUGAUCAGUCACGCUGGAACUGAGACACGGUCCAGACUCCUACGGGAGGCAGCAGUGGGGAAUAUUGGACAAUGGGCGAAAACCUGAUCCAGCCAUGCCGCGUGUGUGAAGAAGGUCUUCGGAUUGUAAAGCACUUUAAGUUGGGAGGAAGGGCAGUAAGUUAAUACCUUGCUGUUUUGACGUUACCAACAGAAUAAGCACCGGCUAACUUCGUG
RNAcentral lists this ribosomal RNA (484 nucleotides) under uncultured bacterium. Its description in RNAcentral is "partial 16S ribosomal RNA". It matches the Rfam family "Bacterial small subunit ribosomal RNA", at positions 30 to 507 of the family's 1533-position model. The record is from RNAcentral.